This 57-nucleotide transfer RNA is filed under the name Triticum aestivum (bread wheat). It matches the Rfam family "tRNA", at positions 9 to 63 of the family's 71-position model. From Rfam's summary of the family: Transfer RNA (tRNA) molecules are approximately 80 nucleotides in length. Their secondary structure includes four short double-helical elements and three loops (D, anti-codon, and T loops). Lineage: Eukaryota; Viridiplantae; Streptophyta; Magnoliopsida; Poales; Poaceae. The record is from Rfam by way of RNAcentral. RNAcentral also lists the same sequence under 1 other name.
AGCUCAGUUGGUAAAGCACAAGGCUCUUAACCUUGUGGACGUGGAUUCAAGUCCCAC